AACGCAUCUUGCGCCCGGUGGUAUUCCGCCGGGCAUGCCUGUCUGAGUGUCAUUACUAUCUCAACCCUAGCGAUGUUGUCAUGACGUUGCUGAGCGGAUUGGAACUUGGACUUGGCGGGGUUCGUCCUGCCGGUCUUAAAUAGAGUAGGCUAGCCGACUAUCAGCGGUUUGACCGGGUGUUGUAGAGUCGCCUCACUCGGGACGCUGAGCGGAUUAGUUGAAUUGUAAUUGUAUUACUCGAGCGAUUUAGACCUCAGAUCAGGUAGGAUUACCCGCUGAACUUAA
Molecule: unclassified non-coding RNA, 285 nt
Filed under: uncultured fungus
Lineage: Eukaryota; Fungi
Description: partial contains 5.8S ribosomal RNA, internal transcribed spacer 2, and large subunit ribosomal RNA
Rfam family: 5.8S ribosomal RNA (bases 1-52)
Source: RNAcentral